This 921-nucleotide ribosomal RNA is filed under the name Triticum aestivum (bread wheat). RNAcentral describes it as "partial small subunit ribosomal RNA". The record is from RNAcentral. Lineage: Eukaryota; Viridiplantae; Streptophyta; Magnoliopsida; Poales; Poaceae.
AUGCUGAGCAAUAUCCUUGUAAUGCAAGGACUACAAGAAGUAUCAACGAUCAGGGUCAACAACAUCGAGUCACUCCAUGAGGUGGUGGAGCUGCUGGCUCGGUCGGAGAGGCUGAGCAUCCUUGGCUUGAGCUUUGACGGACUAAGCACAUCUCUGGAUAGUGCACGUGCAUUCACCGAUUUAUUGAGGGCGGUUGGACAGUCUAAACUUUGGUCCCUAUCUCUGCAUUGUCUUCAUGGUGACUGGAUUGGCCUACUGGACUCGAGACCAUACCAGCUGCGAAGAUUUGAGGUGUCUAUACCUGUUCCAGUCUUGGAAAGUACUGUAUUUAUUAUUCCCUGCUGUAUCACACACUUGAAUAUUGAAGUGGCUCAGUUGGGAGAGGAAGGUCUCAUUGUCAUUGCGUCCAUGCCCCAGCUUGUCCUUCUCAAGUUAGCAUCUUCAGGACCUGCUGCUGCCACGAUGGACACAGACACAUCCUUACGAAAACAGAGAAGAAGAGCGAGAAUUAGGAGGGGAGCCUUUAUGUGUCUUAAGGUGUUCUGGUUCACAUGCAAGGCUGGUGGGAAUGAGGUGCAGUUUGAUCCAGGAGCCAUGCCACAGCUGCAGGGGCUGCGGCUCCACUUCAACACUCUAGAGACGCUGUCCCUUUAUGGAGAUUUUGAGUUUGGCAUUGAGCAUCUCUCUAGUCUCAACAGAAUCCAAGCGACCUUCACAUGUGAGGAUACUGCCGCUCCAGAGGUGGGGCAUGCAGAGGCUGCCAUCAAACAGCAAGUAUCUCAGAUCUCCUCCACCAACACACCAACAAUAGAGUUCAGCAGAGAGAAACCCAGGAUGCUCGAGGAGAAAAAGAAGACGGUGGCCAUGAUCACCCAGAAAAGUAGCUUCAGUAGAUGGUUGAGGGGAAAAAAGAGAGGAUAG